Molecule: non-coding RNA, 197 nt
Organism: Oryza glaberrima (African rice)
Lineage: Eukaryota; Viridiplantae; Streptophyta; Magnoliopsida; Poales; Poaceae
Source: Rfam
UUAAAGUGCAACCAUAAAUUUACGCGCCCAACUUUAACCGUCCGUCUUAUUUGUAAUUUUUUAUAAUUAGUAUUUUUAUUGUCAUGAGAUGAUAAAACAUAAAUAAUACUUUAUACGUGACUUAUGUUUUUAUUUUUUGAAAAAAUUUGAAAUAAGAUGGAGAGUCAAAGUUAUGCACGGAAAAUCAUGCACGGAUG